Molecule: ribosomal RNA, 397 nt
Filed under: uncultured bacterium
Lineage: Bacteria
Description: partial 16S ribosomal RNA
Rfam family: Bacterial small subunit ribosomal RNA
Source: RNAcentral
AUAUUGGACAAUGGGCGCAAGCCUGAUCCAGCCAUGCCGCGUGAGUGAAGAAGGCCCUAGGGUUGUAAAGCUCUUUCACCCGCGAAGAUGAUGACGGUAGCGGGAGAAGAAGCCCCGGCUAACUCCGUGCCAGCAGCCGCGGUAAUACGGAGGGGGCUAGCGUUGUUCGGAUUUACUGGGCGUAAAGCGCACGUAGGCGGAUUGGUCAGUUAGGGGUGAAAUCCCGGAGCUCAACUCCGGAACUGCCUUUAAUACUGCCAGUCUAGAGUCCGAGAGAGGUGAGUGGAACUCCUAGUGUAGAGGUGGAAUUCGUAGGUAUUAGGAAGAACACCAGUGGCGAAGGCGGCUCACUGGCUCGGUACUGACGCUGAGGUGCGAAAGCGUGGGGAGCAAACAG